RNAcentral lists this ribosomal RNA (433 nucleotides) under uncultured bacterium. Its description in RNAcentral is "partial 16S ribosomal RNA". It matches the Rfam family "Bacterial small subunit ribosomal RNA", at positions 29 to 507 of the family's 1533-position model. The record is from RNAcentral.
AACGAACGCUGGCGGCAUGCCUAACACAUGCAAGUCGAACGAGACCUUCGGGUAUAGUGGCGCACGGGUGCGUAACGCGUGGGAACCUGCCCUUAGGUUCGGAAUAACUCCCCGAAAGGGGUGCUAAUACCGGAUAAUGUCUUCGGACCAAAGAUUUAUCGCCUUGGGAUGGGCCCGCGUUGGAUUAGCUAGUUGGUAGGGUAAAAGCCUACCAAGGCGACGAUCCAUAGCUGGUCUGAGAGGAUGAUCAGCCACACUGGGACUGGGACACGGCCCAGACUCCUACGGGAGGCAGCAGUGGGGAAUAUUGGACAAUGGGCGAAAGCCUGAUCCAGCAAUGCCGCGUGAGUGAUGAAGGCCUUAGGGUUGUAAAGCUCUUUUACCCGGGAUGAUAAUGACAGUACCGGGAGAAUAAGCUCCGGCUAACUCCGUG